CGCCAGCAUCCUAGCCGAAGCGCGGACCUCAGUCCCGGCUGGCCGUAUUACACCCUGGGCUAUAACACCUCCACCGAAGUGGAGGCCACAUUCCCAGAGCCUUUAUCCGGCCGCCGAAACUGAUGCUGGCCUGUCCAAACUGAGUAAACCGGUCAGAAGACCGGCCGAACAGUUUAAACAAGUCUGAUUGCAAGCGCUUCCCUUUCAACAAUUUCACGUGCUUUUUAACUCUCUUUCCAAAGUGCUUUUCAUCUUUCGAUCACUCUACUUGUGCGCUAUCGGUCUCUCGCCAAUAUUUAGCUUUAGAAGAAAUUUACCUCCCAUUUAGAGCUGCAUUCCCAAACAACUCGACUCGUCGAAGGAGAUUUACAUAGGGUGCCAUUUCCUGUCACAUACGGGAUUCUCACCCUCUAUGACGUCCUGUUCCAAGGAACUUAGACAGGCGGCUUCCCCAAAUCAUCCUCUACAAAUUACAAUGCGAACCCGAAGGCUAGCUUUCAAAUUUGAGCUGUUGCCGCUUCACUCGCCGUUACUAGGGCAAUCCCUG
RNAcentral lists this ribosomal RNA (547 nucleotides) under Aureobasidium proteae. RNAcentral describes it as "partial 26S ribosomal RNA". Lineage: Eukaryota; Fungi; Ascomycota; Dothideomycetes; Dothideales; Saccotheciaceae. The record is from RNAcentral.